Dendrobium catenatum is the source of this 108-nucleotide small nucleolar RNA. The record is from RefSeq and is a predicted model, not a curated record. Lineage: Eukaryota; Viridiplantae; Streptophyta; Magnoliopsida; Asparagales; Orchidaceae.
AUGUCACAGUGAGGGUAUUUCCUAAGCAUCCCCUUAAAUCUCUCCUAACCUUUAUAAGUAGAUUUCCCUUCUAACAUGAAAAAAAAAGGCAAUAUCAUUUCUAGGUCA